UUCUUGGAUCGUCGCAAGACGAACUACAGCGAAAGCAUUUGCCAAGUAUGUUUUCUUUAAUCAAGAACGAAAGUUAGAGGUUCGAAGGCGAUCAGAUACCGCCCUAGUUCUAACCAUAAACUAUGCCAUCUAGCGAUCCGCUGUGUGUCUUAGAUGUCACGGCGGGCAGCCCCCGGGAAACCAAAGACUUUGGGUUCCGGGGGAAGUAUGGUUGCAAAGCUGAAACUUAAAGGAAUUGACGGAAGGGCACCACAAGAAGUGGAGCUUGCGGCUUAAUUUGACUCAACGCGGGGUAUCCUACUAGGCCCGGACACUCGAAGGAUUGACAGAUUGAGAGCUCUUUCUUGAUUGGGUGCGUAGUGGUGCAUGGCCGUUCUUCGUUGGUGGUGCGAACUGUCUGCUUAAUUGCGAUAACGAACGAGACUCUAGCCUGCUAACUAGUCGAUACUGGCAUCCGUUGUGCAGCCGGCGACUAUAAAUCUUCUUAGAGGGACAGGUGGUGUAUAGCCACACGAGAAUGAGCAAUAACAGGUCUGUGAUGCCCUUAGAUGUUCUGGGCCGCACGCGUGCUACACUGAAGGGAUCAGCGUGUGUUUUCCUAGUCCGAGAGGACCGGGUAACCCGUUGAACCCCCUUCGUGCUAGGGAUUGGGGCUUGCAAUUUUUCCCCACGAACGAGGAAUUUCUAGUAAGCACGAGUCAUAACCUCGCGUUGAUUAUGUCCCUGCCCUUUGUCCACACCGCCCGUCGCUACUACCGAUUGAAUGAUUUAGUGAGGUCUUCGGACCAGUGCGCGGUUUUCGAAAUUUUUUUCGAAGACCGAUGUUACCGGAAAGAUGACCGAACUUGAUUAUUU
Molecule: ribosomal RNA, 855 nt
Filed under: Trigonidiinae sp. DPM-2011
Lineage: Eukaryota; Metazoa; Arthropoda; Insecta; Orthoptera; Trigonidiidae
Description: SSU rRNA
Rfam family: Eukaryotic small subunit ribosomal RNA
Source: RNAcentral